UUAAAAAGGGUUGACGUACUUGAAAAGCCAGAAAGAUUGAACACAAUUGACAGACAAACAUUUGAGUAGUAUAGUGUCAAAUGAUGCAUGCUUAACCCAACAGGACAACAAACAGGCUGGCCCUGGCCCUGGCCCUGGCCCUUAUUAAUCAUACUCUUUGAAGCAUGCAUGUGCUGGUCUUGCGCUACUCAUAUUCCCCACUACCCUUAUCAGCAUACAAACAGCUAGCUCAGCUCAAAGAAUAACAAUGCAAAGCAAAAGCAAACUCUAACAUUUAUUUAUUUAUAUUAAUAUAUAUUUGACAUAUAUUGUAAUGUUGUAUGUAGCACUAGCAGAUGUGAGAUGUGAGAUGUGAGAUGUGAGAUGUGAGAUGAUCAAUGUGAAGAGAGAUAAAUGGAAGAUCAAUACAUAAACUUUAUUCAAGCAUUGGCAACAGCUUGGGCGUUUAUGAUGAUGUUAGGUUUAAUGUGUUGCUGUCUUAGCACUCAACCUGCUCAUAAUGGUGACUCUAAUAGUGCUAAUGCUAGCUGCAGCUGCGACACCGGCUACGGUGCGGUUUAACCUACCUACUUUCACUUUCUCCGAUCCUUAGACCUCACCUCAGAAAUACAAAGAUGAUUCAUCUAAAAUUGAAGUCGUGCGAAGAAAACUUCUGCAAGGAAAACAAAAGCAGGAGAAGAAGAAGAAAAUUUUGACAACAAUGAAAACCAAGGACGUGGUAGAGAAAAGAGAGGGCGUGGACGUCGAAGGAGAGGACGUGUUGGUGUAAAGAAUGGACUUGGACGUGGCGAUUAGUACUUUUUAGUUCAAAAACAUUUGAGUUUAAUGUGUCUUAUUGAAUAGAUGUAAAUAAUUAGAAUGUCGUAGCUAAAAACAACUACUCAUGUAGUUAAUGUUUUCUUAAUUAUUGUUCAAGAGUUAUAAUUACUCUUACUUUUGA
Long non-coding RNA from Spinacia oleracea (spinach), 940 nucleotides. RefSeq lists it as uncharacterized. The transcript has 2 exons. Lineage: Eukaryota; Viridiplantae; Streptophyta; Magnoliopsida; Caryophyllales; Amaranthaceae. The record is from RefSeq and is a predicted model, not a curated record.